RNAcentral lists this ribosomal RNA (375 nucleotides) under Triticum aestivum (bread wheat). RNAcentral describes it as "partial small subunit ribosomal RNA". Lineage: Eukaryota; Viridiplantae; Streptophyta; Magnoliopsida; Poales; Poaceae. The record is from RNAcentral.
AUGACCUGGUGGUGGAGAUCCUGUCUCGGCUGCCGCUUAAGUCCUUUUGCCAUUUCAGAUGUGUCUCCAAAUCUUGGCUUGCCUUCUCAUCUGAUCCGCACUACCGCCAGAAGCUCCCAAGAACUCCUGUCCGUCUCCUCUACCAAAAAGGUGAGCAUGGCACUCCCAUCCUUCUGGCGGGACUUCCCUCGAGUGAUAGGGAUAUUGAUUUUGUGCUAUGUUGAUCUCAAGCUUAAGGACUACAACAAUGGCCUACUUCUUUGUUAUCAUUGUGAUACGCACUAUAAUGAAAUUUAUGACGCUAUCGUGUGCAAUCCAGCAACUAAAGAGUGGAUUGUACUUCCAGAUAUUUGCUGUUCUCAGGUUGUGUUUUGA